AUUGAACGCUGGCGGCAGGCCUAACACAUGCAAGUCGAGCGGAUGAAGGGAGCUUGCUCCUGGAUUCAGCGGCGGACGGGUGAGUAAUGCCUAGGAAUCAGCCUGGUAGUGGGGGAUAACGUCCGGAAACGGGCGCUAAUACCGCAUACGUCCUGAGGGAGAAAGUGGGGGAUCUUCGGACCUCACGCUAUCAGAUGAGCCUAGGUCGGAUUAGCUAGUUGGUGGGGUAAGGGCCUACCAAGGCGACGAUCCGUAACUGGUCUGAGAGGAUGAUCAGUCACACUGGAACUGAGACACGGUCCAGACUCCUACGGGAGGCAGCAGUGGGGAAUAUUGGACAAUGGGCGAAAGCCUGAUCCAGCCAUGCCGCGUGUGUGAAGAAGGUCUUCGGAUUGUAAAGCACUUUAAGUUGGGAGGAAGGGCAGUAAGUUAAUACCUUGCUGUUUUGACGUUACCAACAGAAUAAGCACCGGCUAACUUCGUG
This 484-nucleotide ribosomal RNA is filed under the name uncultured bacterium. RNAcentral's name for it is "partial 16S ribosomal RNA". It matches the Rfam family "Bacterial small subunit ribosomal RNA", at positions 30 to 507 of the family's 1533-position model. The record is from RNAcentral.